Molecule: non-coding RNA, 148 nt
Filed under: Nomascus leucogenys (northern white-cheeked gibbon)
Lineage: Eukaryota; Metazoa; Chordata; Mammalia; Primates; Hylobatidae
Source: Rfam by way of RNAcentral
GCCAGGCAUGGUGGCGCAUGCCUGUAAUCCCAGCUACUCAGGAGGCUGAGGUAUGAGAAUCACUUGAACCCGGGGGACAGAGGUUGCAGUGAGCCAAGAUCACGCCACUGCACUCCAGCCUGGGUGACAGAGUGAGACUCCAUCUCAA